Acanthaster planci (crown-of-thorns starfish) is the source of this 307-nucleotide long non-coding RNA. The record is from RefSeq and is a predicted model, not a curated record. NCBI's taxonomy places the organism in Eukaryota, Metazoa, Echinodermata, Asteroidea, Valvatida, Acanthasteridae.
UUUGAGCAGCCGACCCACGAAGAACAAAUCGAGCUGUUUGUGAACACUCGGGAACAAGCUGCCCGAACUCGGCCGAUAUCGUCAAUGGAAACUUGGGAAAUCCAACAUGGGCAUGUGAACAACCUGAAAUAUGCAAAGUCUGAUGCUAGGUGUUUGAGAAUCCAAAAUUUGAAGCAAAUAUGUGAAACUUAUAUUGCUUAUGAACUCUUUUUUAAAGGCAGGGCCAAGACACACUUUUGGAUGGAUGAAACGUUUGGGGUAACACAUCUACAAAUUGUGGAGUAAAGCAGUGCAGAGUGGGCUGUCU